UACAGAGGUCUCAAGCGUUGUUCGGAUUCAUUGGGCGUAAAGGGUGCGUAGGCGGCGCGGUAAGUCGGGUGUGAAAUCUCGGAGCUUAACUCCGAAACUGCAUUCGAUACUGUCGUGCUUGAGGACUGGAGAGGAGACUGGAAUUUACGGUGUAGCGGUGAAAUGCGUAGAUAUCGUAAGGAAGACCAGUGGCGAAGGCGGGUCUCUGGACAGUUCCUGACGCUGAGGCACGAAGGCCAGGGGAGCGAACGGG
This 253-nucleotide ribosomal RNA is filed under the name uncultured bacterium. Its description in RNAcentral is "partial 16S ribosomal RNA". It matches the Rfam family "Bacterial small subunit ribosomal RNA", at positions 524 to 776 of the family's 1533-position model. The record is from RNAcentral.